RNAcentral lists this ribosomal RNA (535 nucleotides) under Escherichia coli. RNAcentral describes it as "bacterial LSU rRNA". It matches the Rfam family "Bacterial large subunit ribosomal RNA", at positions 1220 to 1756 of the family's 2925-position model. The record is from RNAcentral. Lineage: Bacteria; Pseudomonadati; Pseudomonadota; Gammaproteobacteria; Enterobacterales; Enterobacteriaceae.
GUUGUUGGGUAGGGGAGCGUUCUGUAAGCCUGCGAAGGUGUACUGUGAGGUAUGCUGGAGGUAUCAGAAGUGCGAAUGCUGACAUAAGUAACGAUAAAGCGGGUGAAAAGCCCGCUCGCCGGAAGACCAAGGGUUCCUGUCCAACGUUAAUCGGGGCAGGGUGAGUCGACCCCUAAGGCGAGGCCGAAAGGCGUAGUCGAUGGGAAACAGGUUAAUAUUCCUGUACUUGGUGUUACUGCGAAGGGGGGACGGAGAAGGCUAUGUUGGCCGGGCGACGGUUGUCCCGGUUUAAGCGUGUAGGCUGGUUUUCCAGGCAAAUCCGGAAAAUCAAGGCUGAGGCGUGAUGACGAGGCACUACGGUGCUGAAGCAACAAAUGCCCUGCUUCCAGGAAAAGCCUCUAAGCAUCAGGUAACAUCAAAUCGUACCCCAAACCGACACAGGUGGUCAGGUAGAGAAUACCAAGGCGCUUGAGAGAACUCGGGUGAAGGAACUAGGCAAAAUGGUGCCGUAACUUCGGGAGAAGGCACGCUGAUA